RNAcentral lists this ribosomal RNA (253 nucleotides) under uncultured bacterium. RNAcentral's name for it is "partial 16S ribosomal RNA". It matches the Rfam family "Bacterial small subunit ribosomal RNA", at positions 524 to 776 of the family's 1533-position model. The record is from RNAcentral.
UACAGAGGGUGCGAGCGUUAAUCGGAAUUACUGGGCGUAAAGCGCGCGUAGGCGGCUUUGCAAGUCGGGUGUGAAAUCCCCAGGCUUAACCUGGGAACUGCAUUCGAGACUGCAUUGCUAGAGUAUGGGAGAGGGAAGUGGAAUUUCCGGUGUAGCGGUGAAAUGCGUAGAUAUCGGAAGGAACAUCAGUGGCGAAAGCGACUUCCUGGACCAAUACUGACGCUCAUGUGCGAAAGCUAGGGGAGCAAACAGG